Conger conger (European conger) is the source of this 375-nucleotide non-coding RNA. Lineage: Eukaryota; Metazoa; Chordata; Actinopteri; Anguilliformes; Congridae. The record is from the annotation of a RefSeq genome assembly.
CACCUGUAAGACAGAGAGAGAGAUCUGUGGGUGACAAUGGGAGCUAUUGUAGCAUUAGCAGUACUGCUGGGAACUUUAUAUUAUGGUCACUGUUAUGAACUCACACAGCCAGGCUCUAUGGUAGUAACACCAGGACAGCCUUUAACCAUCUCCUGUAAAGUCUCAUAUUCAGUGAGCAGCUAUACUACAGCCUGGAUCCGCCAGCCUGCAGGGAAAGCUCUGGAGUGGAUUGGCCUUAUAGACUCGGGUGGAGGCACUGCUUAUAAAGAUUCUCUAAAAAACAAGUUCACCAUCUCCAGAGACACCUCCAGCAGCACAGUGUCUUUACAAGGGAACAGCCUGCAGACUGGAGAUACAGCUGUGUAUUACUGUGCC